CACCCUCAGGAAUUGUAGUUCAAGAAGAACCUUGUCCAAAAACCCAUUGUUUUCGAAACCAACUGACAUGACUAAGAAAGUUCGCAAGUGUUUAGCUCUAUGUAAUUCAUUAAGCUUUCUGUAUGAUCCAGAUCUUGGACCUACAAGUGAAAAGUGACGAAAUUUAUCAAAAGCUUCAUUCAUAUCAGAUACAUCCACCUCACCAUCCAAUCUAAAGGAAAACUCUCCUGCAACACUUGUGGCCAAGUCAUUCAUCAGGUCAUGCAUUGUAUAUCUUAACUCGUCAUUCGUUGAUUGUUGAAAAAAGGACCUUGACUUUAGCUCUUCAAAACACUCAUGACCUAAAUUCUCCAUUGACUUGUUUCCUUUUGAUUGGGACAAAAAUCCUUCUGCCACCCACAAUAGGACUAAUUUAUUUUUUUCAAACACAUAGUCCUUGGGAAUUAAGGAGCAAUAUGCGAACAACUGCUUCAGAUGUGGAGGGAGAUGAUAGUAGCUUAGUUUUAGAGCCGGAAGAAUCUUAUUUCCAUCGUCUAUAUCCCAUAUCUCACUCUUCAACAACUUCUCCCAUUUAUUGGCAUUUCGAUUUCCCUUCAAGACCCUCCCAAGUGCUGUCAAAGCCAAAGGCAAUCUACCACAUUUCUGAACCAUACCUUCACCAAACAACUUAAGUGUUGGAUGUUUGUCAAAGUUUUUUUCUCCUAACGCGUGUUGAGCAAAUAAUGACAAUGCAUCUUCAUUUGACAAAACCCCUAAAGGGUAAGUUUGUUGCGAGUCCAUCACUGAUGCAACUCGGGUACUCUGGGUUGUAACAAUAAUUCUACUUCCAGGUGCCCCUACAAGAAGAGGACUUUGUAUUUGUUCCCACUUACUGUCGUCUUCAUUCCAGACAUCAUCUAGAACAAGUAGGAACCUUUUAUUUGAAAGUUCUUCUUUGAGGGCCACAUGAAGCAGAUCAAGAUUAGCAAAAUCUUUUUUUUGACCUGUUACUGUUACUGCUUGAAAAAUAGCCUUGCUAAUCUUAAACACAUCGCACUCUUAAAAAACACAAAUCCAUGCCCUGACUUCAAAGUGAUCUUUCACUUUCUGCUCGUUGUAUAAAAGUUUGGCAAGAGUAGUUUUGCCUAUUCCACCCAUUCCAACUAUGGACACUACGCUCACAUUCUGGUCACAUCCUUCAUUUCCCAACAACUUCCCCAACAAUUUCUCUUUAUCCCCUUCCCGACCCAUGAUUUUGGACUCAUCGACCAGUGAAAGUUUGCUCCAACCGUCUCUCUGUUAUAUUUGAACUUUCAACAUUCACAUUCAAACCCAAAUCAUUUUUCUGGUCAACAAGAUCAUGCAAUUUUAUGGUGAUCUCUUCUAGCUUAGAACUCAUCUGCUGACCAUACAUAAUGUUGCGAGGAGUGAAAUUAGUACAGCAUUUUGGGACGAGCUUCAAUACCUUACUAGUGCUGGUGUUGGGAUGAGCUUCUUGAUUCAACUUGCGUCGCAGAGCUUCGGUGACCAAAUCGUCGAGUACAUCGUCAAUGUCGUAAGCUAAAUGCUGGAGAUCGUUCACCCACAGUUGAACAGCUCUUUCUUUUAUUUGCUUCUGGGUUGCAUCAGCGAGCACGGCUUGGAUCAUGGGCAGGUUUUUCUUCCAUUUCUUCAGCUGAGAAUCGAUUCCUUCGGAUCGAGCAAGCUUAAUCAAGUCACCAGAGAUCAGCUUCUUACAUUUUGGGAAUAAGGAUAGUAAGAGAAAGAAGUAAGAGACUAAUUGGACUUAGUCAGGAUACUUACUUAGAGAAAGUACUAAAACGUUUUAGUAUGGAAAACUCAAAGAAGGGAGAACUACCGAUACAAAGUAAUGCCAAGUUGAGUAAGACUCAAAGUCCGAGUACCGAAGCUGAAAUAGCAGAAAUGAGCCGAGUACCAUACGCUUCCGCAGUUGGCUCAAUCAUGUAUGCUAUGACUUGUACUUGCCCUGAUGUAGCCUUCGCUUUGAGCAUGGUUAGCAGAUAUCAAGGGAACCCUGGCAGAGCACAUUGGAUUGCGGUGAAGAAUAUCCUUAAGUACCUUCGGAGGACGAAGGAAUGGUUCUUAGUCCUUGGAGGGAGUGAUGACUUGAAGGUGCGAGGGUAUAGUGACGCAAGUUUUUAGACCGACAGGGACAACUACCGUUCGAAGUCGGGCUGGGUCUUUACCCUAAAUGGAGGAGCAGUGACAUGGAAGAGUUCCAAGCAGGAGACUGUAGCUGAUUCAACGUGCGAAUCAGAGUACAUUGCAGCGAGCGAAACGUCGAAGGAGGCAAUAUGGCUAAAGAACUUCAUCGGUGAUCUUGGAGUUGUACCUGCCAUAAAGGAGCCCAUGGAGAUUUUCUGUGAUAACGAAGGAGCGGUUGCCUUGACCAAGGAACCGAGGGAUCAUGGUAGAUCAAGACAUAUCGACAGAAAGUAUCACUUCAUUAGACAUCGUGUAGAAGAAGGACAACUCGUAGUGAAGAGGAUAUCAUCAGAAGAUAACCCAGCAGAUCCGCUUACGAAGGGACUGAGUAGGGUUAAGCACUUGCAGCAUGCUAGGAGUAUUGGGCUGAAGGAUGAUAUUAGCAUAGAUUAGAUAGUAUUAGAAACGUGUAAUAGAUAAAUGUAAUUAACAUUUGAUGAUUAAAUAAAGGAGUUUUAUUUAUGAGUAAUGUUACUAUCUUAUGUUAAUUGUUUAACUAUUGUUUCACUUUGCAUGUUUUGACUUCCAGAAUAAUUGAGUUUAUUAGGAAUAAUCGAAUUGUUCAAAUUGUCCACAAUCGUUCAUAUGUUGGAAGUAGAUAUGAAUGAAGAUUGUCAUGAAUUGGUGUGUAGAAUGUCUAAAUGGUGUUAGACAUAGCAAAGGAUUGCUACAACGUUCAUGAGUGCUUAUGAACUAGUUUUGAGCAUUGGAACAAACCCGCGCUUGCUGGAAUCACCUUAUGGAAUACGAUAUAAAAGGUGAUCGCAAGACGAUAAUAUCAUAUAGUCUUAAAACCUAGAUAUAUGGUUUGUUAUUUGUUAAUUGAUUGUACAUUGAUAAUGCGAAAACGCAUCAGUAACUCGGUGUUAUAAAACGCAUUGUUGUGUAUAGUUGGUUAAUGAAUAAGUAAAUGCAUAUAAGUCGAAGUUUAUCUGUAACUUUUAUCUAAGAAGGUAAAAGCGAUAUCUCGGCCGCUCGAUGAUUUGAUUUGACUUAUGUGUCGGGCCCGGUCAGAACUGAAUUGAUGUGUUCGAUUAAGUUCUAUGUCAAAUAAAUCAGAGAUCGAGAAACCUAAAUGUUUGACUAACCAUUCCAUAGGAUUGUCAGCAUGAUAUCUAACAGAGGACUGUACGAUCCCUUAUCUAAAGGACAAGAUUGAUUAGAUCAGAGUUUGACAGCGUCUUUGAGAGCUACGAUUGCAAACCGAAUUGUACUUGUGCAUAUAGUUACUAGACUUAUCCAAGUGGGAGACUGUUGGAAUAGUGUCUAAGGCUGCAACUAUAUUAGGCAAGUAUUUGACCCGGUUGUGCAUGGUCCUUUUGGGUUGCCUUCACCAUAGCAACUUGAUAGGAUGAUUUAUUAAGAGAGAGUAAAUAUUAUAAAGAAUAUUUAUAUGGUUAUUUGAUUAACAUAAGUCAUAGAAUUAAUUGGAAUUAAUUUGGUGACUUAAAGAGAUUAAUUAAAUAAAGGGGUAUAAACUCUCAAUUGUUUGAAAGUUAAGCUUUAGACUAUAAAUCCUUAUAGAUAUACAAGGGACGGAUUCUAGAAGCUAGGAUAGCCUCAAAAUCGUCCAUGACUUAUCUAAGGAAAAGAUUUGGAUAGCCUUAAGAGAAGAUUAUCCAAUUAGGGUUUAGACUGUAACCCUUAAGGAGUCUACAAGUAUAAAUAGACCCCAUGGGUAAGGGAAAUCGGCAUCUCACCUAAAGUAAGACAACUCUGGCCGAUUUCCUCCCCUCUCCUCUCUCCUAAAUCAUCUUCCUUGCUAUUGGUGUUUGUAAUCCAUUAGACGAGUGACAUUUGUGACUCUAGAAGCUCCAAGACAACAAGAUCAACAAGGAAUUCAAAGGUAUGGUUCUAGAUCUGUUUCAAUGUUGUUAUUUAACCUAAUUAGCUAUUAGAAUUCUUGGAUUCAAAGCAUGUUUAAUUAGAAAGCCUAGAUCCAAGCAUUAGGGUUUUGCAUGCGCACAUAGGAAAGUUCUUAUGGCUAAAACCCAUCAGUAACGAUGACCCCAUGAGAGAAAACGAAAGAACGAACCCUAGUGGUUUAGAUUAUGUUGGGGGUAAUGGGAAUUUGGAAACCUGAGCGGGAUGUGAGUUGAUUUUCAAUAUUCAAGAUUGACAUCUUCGAUUGUCGAUAGCAAAUGUUUGGAUCGAUGGUGCAACGGAGAACGCGAUUGGAAUUUCCGAUAUCCCUCAUGGCCUAUGGGUUUCAACAUUGAAGAUAAUAGAUAUUAGGUUUAAAGAGGAGGGAAUUACUAAAUCUAAAAUUUUUCAGGCAGAGGGAAUCUGAAACUUUUGGAAUGGAAGAAUGAGGGAAUAAACCAAAAAUGAAAUUUUAAUAUUUCUAUAAAAAUUGCAAACAAAUGAGUUUUUCUUUUUUAAGUUUUCUAUUUUUUUUCGAAAGAUAACUUUCUUAUCCAGGGUUUCCGGACCGGUUUUAAUUUUUUCAUAAAAUUACAAAUAAUUUUUUUUAAUUGAUAGUAUUAUCUAUUGUUUUUAUUAUUUAAAAAAUAAUAUCUAUGUUUUUAUUUCUAUCAUGAAAUUAAAAUCUAAUAUAUAAUUAUUUUGUUAUAAGUUUUUUAUCCAUAUGUAUGUGUGUAAUUUUAAACGAGUCUGGUUGAGGCCAAGCCAUAUCCAGAAGUUAUAAGCCCUAAUUUAUAAUCCCGAGACAUAAGCCCUAAAUCCUAAGCAUAAGCCAUAAGCCCUACUCCAUAAGCCUUAAUCCUUAAGCCCUAAGUCAUAAGCCAUAAGCCAUAAGGACUAAGGACUAAGCUAACUAUAAGUCAUAAGGUCUACACCUAAAGCUUUAAGCAAUAUGAGUUUAGUCAUAAGCUAUAAUCGCUAUUUUGUAAGCCUUAAACCAUAACCCAUAAGGAUUAUGGUAUGUGGUUUAAGAAUUAUGGCCUAUGACUUUAGAUUUAUGGUUUAUAGUUUAUUGCUUAAGAAUUGUAUCUUUUGGAUUAUGGCUUGAGACGUAUGGAUUAUGGCUUAUGAUAUAAGUCAUAAUCCAUAAGCCAUAUUUCAUAAACUUUAAGCCCUAAUCCAUAAAAUAUAAGCCACAAGCCUUAACUCCUAAGCUAUAAGCCGUCAAACAUAUAUCAUAAGAUAUUUUCAUACAAAAUAGGCCUGAAGCCCUAAGUCAUAUAGCAUAAGCCAUAAGCCUUAAGCCUUAAGCCUUUCGCCCUUACUCACAAGCCAUACACCUAAGACCUAAGCAUAAGCCUAAGUCAUGACCCUUGAGCCAUAAGCCACCUAUCCAUAUCUACAAACCCACACAUCCACCCUACCCUAUUACAAAUCAAUAUAUCCACCCACCCUACCCAAACCCAACUUUACAUACAUGUAUACACCCACACACACCCAUACACAAUCUUCCCAUAUUUGCCAAAGCACGCCCACCUACACCUAUACCCAAUACCUACCUCAUACAAUCCACCUUCACCUACAAACCCACACCAACACCACUCCAUAUAAAAAUUAAUAUUAAUAAUCUAUAUAUUCAAAUAAAAAUAUCAAUAUAUCAAUAUGACAGGCUUUGACUGAUAUUAACUAGAACCAACAAGCCUGACCAAUUGUCUUUAUUCGUAAUCGGUUAAUGACUUUCAUCUGAUUAAUCAAUCACUAAGGGUAAUGUGGGGGUGUAGGUAUGUGUGUGUGUGUAUGUGUAUGGAUUGGGUUGUAGGGGUGGUGUUGGGUAGGAUGUGUGGUAUGUAGAUGUGAGCUAAAGCCCUAAACCCUAACUACUAAGCCAUAAGCCUAUACCCUAGACAUGUAUCACAAGCCACAAGCCUCAAGCCUGAAUGAAUAAGCCUUAAGCCUAAAUCCAUAAUCACUAAUAUAUAAAUCAUAACUCAUAACUCAUAAGCCAUGAGGCAUAAAGCAUAUGUACCCUAAAGCUAUAAGCCCUAAUUUUAAGCCAUUAGCCCUAAUUUUUAAGCAUAAGUCAUAAGCUCUUAGUCAUAAGUCAUAACUCAUACGUCAUAAGUCAUGAUCCAUAAGCCAUAAUUAGACUAAUUCAUAAGCACUAAGCCUAAGGCCCUAUGCUUUAUGCCCUAAACAUAAGUCAUAAUCCCUCAAUCAUAAGUCAUGAUCCAUAAGCCAUAAUUGGCCUUAUUCAUAUGCAUUAAGCCUUAGGCCCUAUGCUUUAUACCCUAAGCCCUAAUCCAUAAGCCACAUGCCUUGCGCCCUAAGACCUAAGCCCUCAUCCAUAAGACUUGAGUCUUAAGUAAUUAAUCAACAACCAUAAGAAUUAAAUCUAAAGGUUAGGGCUUAGAACUUAAUGCUUAGGCUAACGAGAGUAGUCACCACCAACCCAUUAGAAAAGUGCUGCCAGCUGAACGCCACAUAAACUCCACUACAAGCUUAUUACCAAACCACUAGCCUUUUGAAAUGGUCACCACUCCAAAUUAUUUAUUUAUUUAUUUUGAUAUGAAAUUAAAUAAAAAAAAUUUAAAACAUAAACCUUAGCAUAUCACAUGCAAAGUAAAUGGUCAAAAAAGCAUAACCAAUCACAUGCGUCGUCUUCAUCCCUCUCCAUAACCACUCCACAACCAAGCCACUGGACACUGGGGAAGUGUUCACACAUGACUUGGUUGUCCACCUUAGUUUUCAUGCGUCUUUUUGGCACCCAUUCUAGAUAUCCUUGAUGCUUAGUGCUUAGGACAUAAGGUUCACGACUUAUAAGUUAGAGCUUAAGGCUUAUGACUUAUGGAUUGGGGUUUUUAGUUUACCUUUUUCAAAACCCUACCACACAGUAGACUAAAACAACAUAAGUAAAAAAGUAAGAAUUUUGAUAGUUUUUCUCUACAUUGGAGUUCAAACAAACCAUAGGAAAAUCAUAUAUAUUUUUUCUAUUUAUAUAAUCAAUAUUAAUUAAUAUAUUUUUAAAUUCUAUUGUUAAUUUAACUUUUUUUAAGUAUAUAUUUUGCUGAUACAAAUUUUCACCAAAAAAUUAAGAUUCCCACACUUAUUUUUCAUUUCCCUCAUCUUUCUUUAUCAAACUUUGCAUUCUCCUUAUCGUACUCGUGUUACCUCACCAAUGACAGACUCCCCUAACCUUUAUUGGCGAAUGACGUCUACCCCCACGAAACCCCUUACUUUAACAUCCCUUGUGGGUUGUCGCCACACUAUCGACCUACACUGUCGCACAUCACAAACAUCGCCGUCCUCGAUACCAAUUGAGAGUCCAUCUCCAAUUUCAAGCAAUCUUUAUUUUUGUUUGUAGAAGGGAAAGGCCAAACCUUGAUCCUAGCGUUACGUCAAGAAUAAGAAAAUGACAAAAAAUGACGAUGUACAUUCUUUAAUAUCUUUUUACCAUAUUAUACCAUCAAAUUUUUCUGGUGUAAUAUUGUUAUAACACAAAGUUAAUUUUUUCAGUUUUUUACUAUAAUGGUGGAUGACAUGUUAUAACGUAAACUGCAUAUUAUAGCAAUGUACUUUCGUUAUGCAAUGUUAGACAAAGUUGUAUUCUUUUCAUUUAUUUAUCAUAUUUUUCUGUUAAAGAAAGUUGUAUUCUUUUCAUUUUUUAAUGAUGUAUGAUCUGGUGCAAUUAAAAAAAUAGAUGACAAAAGGGCAAUUUGGUCCUUUCUUAUAUAGUUAUUUGUUUUGGUUUUAUUUAUUUUUUGGUUUUUUCAUAAAUUGUUUCUGACUUUACAAAACUGCCAUUCAAGUUUUUUCAUUAAUUUAUACAACCCUUUAAUUGCAAAAAAAAAAAAGCAAUGUACUUUUGUAAAAUGUCAUGAUUAAACGUUUUGUUCAUUUUUUAUUCUGCCAAAUGAUAUCAAAGAUAGAUAUGAUCAAAUUUAAGAGUCUUCCAAAUACAAUAGUACAACCAGAAUGAACAUUGCAUAAUUAUAGUAACAUAUUCAAUGAACGACCCCUAAUUAUACUGAUAAGACAUUAUUGUUCUUUUAUAACUAUAUUUACAUAUAGACACAUAUAAUAGCUGUAAUCGUAACUAAAUGCCACCUACACACACUAUUUGCUUCUUUUUAAAGCCAAUUCAUAAUAUUUUGACAUACAUAACAAAUGGUACAUGACCAUAAGUAACAUAUUCAAUGAACGACCCCUAAUUAUACCAGUAAGACAUUAUUGUUUUUUUAUAACUAUAUUUACAUAUAGACACGUAUAAGAUUUGUAAUCGUAACUAAAUGCUACCUACACACACAAUAUUUGUUUAUUCUUAAAGCCAAUUCAUAAUAUUUUGACACACAUAAUAAAAGGUACAUGACCAUAAGUAACUAAUAGUAACUUGUUUUAUUUUCUUGCAUUAACUAAGUACAACUAGUAUAGAACCGCGCUAUGGACACAUAUUAAUAUUUAGUGUGACCAUAUGUAUCACCUUUUAGCUACUUUGUCUGUUAUGUGGCUAAAAAGGCACCGGUUUAUAGACACACAAAGAACUAACUCAUGUGACCAUAAUUUUAUCUAUUGUCUCUCAUAAAAACAAGCAUGACAAUCUUAAUCGAUACCUGUGGCUGAUUGUGACCUAUGGCCUCAGUGUUCGAGUGUGACUAAUAUUUUUCACAUUUGGUAUAAUUAAGUGUGGUUAAAGUUUUGAUUAUCUAUAUAAUGGCCACACAAAGUAAUUUAAGUGUAUCCAAAAACAGUCUCUAAAUUUUUUUAGUGACCUUUGGCCACACUUUUAAUAAAAAGUGUCACAAGUCGUUUUUCGAAAAGUGUGACCAUAGGUCAUUUUUGUACUAGUGACCUCAAAGUAAAGGUGAAUAUGGCAAUUGAUGUAAAAGUGAUAUUUAGUUUUAUAAAGGGUAAAUUUGUCAUUUUUUGUUCCAUUAUUUUGCCAGCUAUAUUUAUAAGGAAAAUUUUGUUGGAAGGAAUUAUACUACUUUAAUGUAAUCAGUUCAAUAUAACUUAAUAAAAUCUUCGUGUCUCGUCCAUUUCUUCGGCGUUUCCAUCCCCGCAAAGCGGGAAUUCUUCCCUAGUUAUACAUUUUUUUGAGUUAUAGUCACAAAAUAUACGUAUAAAUCAUUUUUGUUAAAACUCUACAUAAAAUGAUUAUUAAAGGAGUAUAUUAUUUUGAUUUUAAAAGACUAUCAAUUUGUAAAUUAUGGAGUGUUGUUAUGAUAUUUUAAGAAAAAUCUUAUGAAUAUGUAUAUAUUAAAAUUUCAUGUUAUGAUGUAUAAAAUAUAACAAAUAUUUAAAAUAACAAAUGUUUUAUCAUCUUAACGGGUAAAAUAAAUAGUAAUUUAAAUAUUUAAUAUUUUCAUAUUAUGAAAUAUUAAAUUUAAUGUUUGUUAUAUUUUGUAGUNUUCAAAAGUUGUGGUUUUCACUUGUGUUGAAAACUGCAACCGUUAUGCUGCCCAAAUUUCUUUGGGAAACUUUUAUUACUUAUUAUUCAAAGUUAAAUAACCUUUAUAACUAAAAGUCUCCAACGUCGAAUAACUAAAGAAUUGUGAACAAGAGUACGAGAUCUUUAUGUGAGUUUACUUUUCAUCAAACUAAGAACACAAACUUAGUGAAGACCUCUGUAAUAACAGUUAAUCCUUAAAGAGGAGGAGAAUGUUGUGUAUAUAUUUAUAUGGGUUGACAUCCCUAUGUGCAGUUGAUAGCUACAACCUUCGUAUGACGAGACAAAACAUGUGAUAACUUUGUAUUUUAUCCCAUUUUUGUUUUGACGUUGAUUAAGCGUCAUCAAAACUAUUUUAUAUUUAACAGAUGUGGAUACAAAUCAUAUAGCUCAGUUAUUAAACACUACAUAACCUCGAAAUCCAUUACCAAAAUAUUAAUAUAAAUUAAAAUUAUAUGUAUUGGUGAUAUUGUUGUAGUAAUAGUAUUUAUUUACAUAAGAUAAAUAUUUAGUAGUUCACUUCUUAAAUAUGUAAAUCUUUACUUAUGCAUUAUGAAUGAAAUUGACUUCAAAGAUUAUAACAAUUCAAGAAAACAAGUUCAUCUAAUCUAUAUUUAUUUAGAAUUAUAAAGAUGAAUAACUCUUUGUUUAUCGCUCUUGUAUUUAUAAAAAUUACAUUUUUAUAAAACUUUCGGCGUCAAAACCUAUGAAACUGUCACACCCCCGAACCAGACGGCGGAAACGUCCGGGGGCUGUCGUGACUCAAUUGAAUACCAUAACAUUGAAUAUAUAUGAAACGUAACAACAUUCGUCACCAUGCAUUAAUAUAAUACAACCAUUAGAGUUUACAUGAUGUACAUCGUUAAACAUUACAUUCCCCAAAAAUAAAUUGUUCGAUUCGUACAUAAAUAAACUGCAAGCCAUCACUGAAUAUGAUUUCCUUUGAUUCACUGGUUCCCUGAGACUACANUGAGAAUACAAGUAUUUUGAAAAACGUCAACAUGUGAAAUGUUGGUGAGUUCAUAAGCGGUAUUUGAAAAAAAACAAUGUUUCGUAUCGUUUGAAAACCACCAGAAAAUCCGAUAUUUUCUGAAAAGUAAAGCUUUUGAAAACGUUUGUGAAGAUCCAUAGGUAUGCUUGUUUGUUUCUAUACUUGUAAAACAAUUGUUCAUUAAAGUUGUAUGUAUUUCGAAUCUGUGUGUAUUAAAAAAAAAAAACCCUAGGAAAACCCGAUGUUUUCCUAAUUCAUUGAAUUCCAUGAAGUUACAUUGAAACCAAUAUUGUAUAGCGUGUAGUGUCAGUCCCAGGCGACGUUGAAUUAUUUUUUAGCAUGAUUAAUUGCUACGAACACGCAUUACACAAACGACCAGUUUAUAGCUAUACUAACGAUCCCGUAGGCGUCGUCCGUACUAAUCACGUUAUCCAACCACCCUGACUAUGUAUAGUCCCACAUCCGAAGAGAAAGAGGACACGAAGACCUCGAUGACUCCAUUAACCGGUUGGGGAUAAAAAAAUGUACGAGGGGUCCCAGACCCGCCUCGCAUGAAAUGCAGACUUUACUAGCAAUACCAAAGGACCCUUGGGGACUAGUAGUAUACAAGCCAUUGAAAGUCCUUUUACGUUGUGUUAGAUCGGUAAAACCCAACACUUCGUAAGAUAGAGGUCUUCGGGCCUUAAGAUCAGGUCAUUGGGCUAGCUAGGCCCAACAAACAAGAUUUUACACUUUUGGGGCCCAAAGAUGGUGCGUAGACGUCUGUGCACACUCGCAUGUAUAUUGAAUUCCCAAACGUUACUUGUAUGAAUCGUAGUGUCGUAGUGUCAUAGUGUCGUCGUGUUAGUAGUUUCGGAUUUUUAUUGGUUCGAGACCGAACCAAUUCGUUUAACAACGACUUUUGGUAUUGUAAUGUAUUGUAUUUCGUCGAUAGUCGCGGUGCCAUUAUUUGAUCAAAUUGCGUGUAUUGAAUUAGCCUUGAAAGUUUUCUGUUUUCAACCCCUCAUUGUUUGUAAAAUUUACUUUUUCAACCCUUUAAUUAAAUACUUUCCGGUUUGGUCCUUAAAUCAAUUUUCUUGACAUUUUAACACCAAAAAUUAUUGAAAUUAAUAUUUUUCAGCAUAUUUUUCAUAGAAAACAGUUUAAGUCCCUGAAAUUGCAGUUUUCUCGGUUAUAACCCUUCUUUUUCGCAAUUUUGACAAUUUUGGCCCAAAUUGUAAAAUUUUUGCAACUUUGGUCCUUUUUAAAUUUAAAAAGCAUUUUAAACCUUUGAAAAGGACUUGGAACACUUAUAGUCCACUGUUUUACAGAAAAACACAGUUUUGGCCCUCCAAAACAGAAAAUCUCGCAUAAUGGGCCUCAUUGGGCCGAAAAUGUCAUUUUUAGCCCAUUAAGCUUGAAAUUUAUGUUUUUAAUCCUCCAAAUGAGUAUAUUUCCAGAAAUUGUUUUAUUGAAACUGUUUUAACACACCUCAUCCAUCAGAAUUCGUGAUAUGUCAAUUUGGGCCCUUAACUUUGUAUUUUUCACAUUUUAGGCCCAAAAAUUGUGUUUUUAGCCCAAAGAAAAUGUUACUAAGCCAUUUAGCUAUUUUUCUAGGAACACUUUGUAUGUAGAAAUAUAUUUGAUGCUAGAAUCAUUUAACAAAAAGUAUAUCUCGGUUUUGAGGGGUUUUAUGGCGAGAUCCAACAUUAUAGCACACAACAACACACAUAUAAGCAUGGAAAUCAUACAAGGCAUACAAAACACAUAUAGAUCUACACUUUCACUUGUAUUCCCCCUCCCCCCAACAAAACUCAUAAAAACAGAAAAUAGGGGGUAUGAAGCUCACCUUGUUUGAAGCUUUCGGUUUUUGAAGAAAAGAUGGAAGAAAAUGAAGUGAUUUUCGGCCCUAGCACCUUUCCUUGGUAGAUCUCGAGUUUGGUGACUUCUAAGGUGCAUGAUCACAAGUUGGAAUAGAUUUAGAAGAGGUUUUUGAUGGAAUGAAGUAGCUAGAUCAUGGAUAUAAGUAGAAACUUACCUAAGAUGAUGAUUAACUUGAAAGGUCCUCUUGAAAGCUCCUUAGAUUUUGAAAUUUUUGAAGAAGGGGGAAGGAGAUGUUCUUCAAGAUUUAGAGAGAGUUUGGAAGAGAUUUUUGUGGUGUGUGUGUGUGUUUCGGCCGAGAGUGAGAGAGAGGAGAGAAGAGAAGUGAUCUUUGAAGUGAUAUGUUCCUAGAAGUAUGAGAUGUGCAUGGAAACAUGUUGGGUAUAAAUGAGGUGGCAAGCAAAUAGUCAACUCUUCCAUUUCCUCUUGGGCUUGGGCCUUGGGCCGAGAAUUUGGAAGGGAAAAAGAAAAAUUUGGGCUUUUUCCCUUAAGCCCAAAAUUAGAGUUAGUUUGGGUGAAUUUUAACAUAAAAGAAUAAAGUAUGAUUUUUCCAUUUUUUUUGUUGGACUAGUUUAGGGUAUUGAUGGAUCAAAGCUUUAAUUCAUUUCAUUCUAGGCCCAACAUGGCCCAAAAUGUUGAAAUAAAUUAGUGUGGGUCCAAUUAGAGCCCAAUUAGGGUUCUAAGCCCAUGAUAGUCUAAUUGGAAGCUUAUUGGUCCAUUUGGAUCCAAUAAGGAAGUCCUAGUCCAAAAUGGACGUAAACAAGGACUUCUAGGGUCUCCAAUUAUUUGAUGACUAUUUGUAGUACUUGUAUGAUGUAUUUGAUUGAAGUUUUUGAUGUCAUAAUAGUAGGUGUCAACCAUGUUCUUAAGUUUUUGAUUCACAUUAGCUUGAGUGUAUAGAUUACAUGACACAAAAUUUCCAGUUGUGACAGAAACUCACCAACAUAUUUUGUUGACUUAUUUUUAAAAUAUGUGUAGUCUCAGGUAACCAUGAAGCCGAAGAUAGAACAUCGAUGCUAUGGAAACUAUAUUUCAUUCCUUAUAAAUAAUAGUGACAUGUUUUUCUUUUCGUUAAUGUUUAAAGUAUUAUAAUGUUUCCGUUUCCAAAUUAAAAGUCUGUAAUAUAUUAAUUAUCAUACAUUAAAUGUUCAACAUACGUGGUUGACUGUGAUCUAAUUUUUAACGUUGCGACUCCGACAUUUUCCGCCAUUUGUCGGGGUGUGAUAGAUUGGUAUCAGAGCUAAUAACUAUAAAGAACUCAGUAUUUUCUUACGAAAAUACAACUAUAGUUUAGGGAUUAUUCGUAUAAGAUUAAGUAGACCUUUAUCCUACAAAUACAAAAAUGUCACAAAGCAUCGAUUAAUAAAUAAUAUUAAUUUAUAUAUAUUUAUAAGUUCUGUGAAAAUUAAAUUUGAAACUUUAAAGAAAAUACAUAACAACUUAAAACGCAAGAAUUUAGGUCAAUUACCCAAAUAGGUUUUAUAAUACAUAGGCUUUAUCACAACUAGACCUAGGUUGCGCACCUAAGUUUUAUUAUGAUCGCGCCUUAUGAAUUAUUUCACUUAAAUGACGUAAUUGAUAGACUAAAAACUUGGUGAAUUAAGAAAUUAAAUUUUACAAAUAUUAAUAUGGUAAUUAUUUUUUAAUAUAAUUAUUCUUUAAUUAUUAAAAGUUAUUUCUCUAAUUAGAUGGAUGAAUUAUGGCGAAUCAUCAAUCCCCCGGCCCACGCCCACCAAUAUUUGCAGGGGACCCAUACUUUCCGGAUUUACCAACUGUUCAAGACCAAAUUCCAGUAGCUGAAGAUGUACCGAUCUCAGAUAGGGAAAAUGAUAUGGAAGAAGAGCCGAAGGAAGAUCCGAAAGAGGAGAAUCAAGAAAUGGAGAUUGUUAGUGACGAAGUGACGAAUGAUAUUUCCCCCAAUCGUUCACAUGUCAAAAUGUUUGACGCCGCCUCAAACGCACUGCAAGAAUAUCCAUUCCUGACCCCAAGGACUAAAUAACCAUUUCUCUUACUCAUGCAGCAAAGUCAAUACUUGGGUGGAACAAUGGCAUCAAGCAGAAGCCAAAAAGAAGGGACAAACCUUGGGGAUUGAACCUCCAACUUCCUCCGGCAUUGAUGCACUAGCGAAAAAAUGGAUCACCUGAGUGGAAAAAUGUGACAGUUAAGUGAUGAGGCAAGGACCAAUCAUGGCGAGAUGACACAAAAGUGAACCAGAAUGUCUAAGAUCGAAGAAAAUUGGGAAGAUGACCAACUCACAACUGAACCUCCACUAGCACAUGGACUACUAUCACAGUCGAGUGAUGCAUCUAGAUGUGAGGGUUAAAGCAGCAGAAAGUCAAAAUAAGAUAAAUCUCUCAUUGGCCCAUAGACUGGAAGAGAGCAACCGACUUUUGGAGGAAAAAGUUGAGCAACUAUUUCAAGCCAGGGACUCAUCUGGAGGGUCGCAGUAAGCAAAGUGAUGUAUUACGAUUGUAGCGGAAGGGUGAUAAAGUAGACAAGAGUUAUGUAGUCAUGUCAAAUUUAGAUAGAAUUUCAAAAAUCAUAAAUGAUUUAGGAUUAUCUAAACUUAAUUAUGAACUUUAGGACGUUGUAAGAAAUAUGUAUGGUGUUUUUAUUAAAAUUUCAACGGUAAUGAAUGAUGUAACAUAAUUUAUGUAUGAAAUAUUGAUGAAGGUAUUAACAUAUUAUGUUUUGAUAAUUAAACCAUGUUGUAUUCGAUUAAAAGUACUUCAUGGACUUAUAAACCAUUAUUCUUUUAUUGUUAUUUUUGUCAAAACAAUCGUUUAAAUAAUAGUUCUAUAAAUGACUAACAUAAUGGCAUAAACUUCUCGUCUUCUACUAACCAUAGUGGGAAUUAGAAAAUCCCGCCAAGGAAGAGUCCCUGCUUAAAUCCUAAGGGAACCAAAAAUCCUAAGCCAAAAACUACCGGUGAAUCCGAGAAAAUAUAUCAAGUAGAAAUUCCAGCGAUUGAAAUCUCAAAACCAGAGGAACCAAUAUCACCCCACCCGAGGAGGUGUAACGCCUGAUUUUCAGGUAAAUUUCCUAAAAUAUAAAGUGUUUAUUUAUUUUAUGACUGGCCUAGUACGUUGGGCGUAGCAUGGCAAACGUUCGACAUGGGUCUUUCCCCCCUAGUAUAUUGGGAGUACCUAAGCCAGAGGCAAACCCUAAAUUUUAGGGUUUGGACCCUUUAAGCACCAUAUGCCCAAAGGUUUCUCUCAUUACCAGCCUCAAUUGUCCCCAAAGCAUUAUCUCAAAACCCUAAUCCCUUUUUAUGUGACCAAUGAGUUUGCAGUUGUUCCUUUGGAUGAUACUUACGUGGAUAAAUGCUUGAAUUUAUGGAGAGACCAGUGGAGAUCUUGGAUAGGAAGACCAAGGCCCUACGCAACAAAGAAGUGUCUCUCGUCAAGCUCCAGUGGCAGGAUCAGAGGGAUUCCGAAUAGAUGUGGGAUACUGAGGCGGAGAUGCGUGAGGACUACCCUGAUUUAUUCGUGGUGGCAGACUUCGACGACGAAGUCUAGUUUAAGUGGGGGAGAGUUGAAACAUCUUGGUUUCCAGGUAUUUUCAAUUUGACCCUUGGUUUUUGAAUGAUUUUAAAAACUAAUCCCUAAUGGCAAUUUCGUAAUUAUUUGGACAUGCUUGUGUACGUUGGGCGUACGUGGCCAGAGUGCAAACCCUAAAUUUUAGGGUUUGGACCCAGUUUAAGCAUCAUUACAGCCCCAUACCCCUCCUUAACUCUAGUCUCUAUUCCUCAUUGACCUCAUUUCAAAACCCUAAAGUGUUUGAGUGCAUCUUGAAGCAUGUAGUGUCUUUUUGAUGCCAUUAGGUUACUCUUGAUGCCGAAGGAAGAGCUUCGAAGUUGAUGUGUUUCACUUAAGGCCUUGGAUCCGACAUCUACACUCGCUUGUGUGCCUUCUGGAGGUAUAAAGCUCGAACCUUGAUCAGUAUUUCAUUUAGAUCUAGUUUUAGCUUAAUUUUGGCACCUAUUUGUCCUAAAUUGUGAUCCUUGUGAGUAUGGAAUACUCCAAGAUGUUUGAGUUGUCCUUUCAGAUGUUUUAGGGUGUUUUAAGUCAUAAAAAUAUGAUCUUGGACAUUAUUUUCUUCCCAUGCAUGAUAUAGGUUCUCUUAAUGGGUCAAGAAGCUAGGGCGUUUGAUGUUAAGGUCUUAUUAGCCAUGCAAAACCAUAAAGUUGGAAACUAUAUGGUUAAGAACACCUUUUUGUGUCUAGAUCUGGAUUUUGGAUGGAAGAGCUUAAGGAUUAAGAACUUAAUAGGUUGAGAUGGUGACAUCCACGUAUGUUGGGCAUACCAAAGGGUACGAUGCGUGUAUGUGUCAGCCCUUUGUGGCUUAUUCAAACAUUCAGUAUGCCUCAUGUACAUGUUGACUACGCCCAACAUACUCACCGAGUUGACCCGAUUGACUCGGUUGACUUUGACCUAGAUUUUGGCCAAGGUUAACCUUGGGGUAUUUUGGGUGUUUUGAUCUAUAUUCUGAGUUUUGGUUGCUGUAUUUACAAAGGUGACCGGUAGAGUUGAUUUUGGAACAACAUGCUAUUUCUGGUUUCUCAUCUAUCUGUGAGGUAAGUUUUCUCACUAUAUCCAUGUGUCGAAGGCACCAAUUCCGGUCCAUUAUUCAUUUAUAUAGAAUGCUAGCUGCCGUGUGAUCUAUACUUGUUUGUAUGGCGGGGUUAAUUACACCUUGGAUCCUUAGCAACCAUCAAGAUCCCAUUUUUAUGACUUAAAAUCCUUAGAAAUAGCAAGAUAUGACAAUCGCAAGUUUAGGAGUAGCUUUGACUCACAAUAACUAAAACCAUCGGACCAAAAUCAUGAAAAACUCUACGCUAACCUAGAUCUAAACCAAGGAAUCAUAAAGUUUCAAGUUUUAUACCUUUAGAGGCUUGCAAAUGGAAUGGAAGUUCUGGAUCUUCAAGCUCCAAGCUCACCAAUGCUUAUUUAGUGGAUUCAUUCUUAACAACCACAAAAAAAAAACUCACUCAAAAUGCUCAAGGUCUUCAUAAAGUAGAUAGGGUUUCGAAAUGAAAAAUCGGAGGGAAGUGGAGGCUGAACAUGAAGAGACCUCAAGGGACUUAAGUUGCUUAAAUAGGAUCUCAACCCUAAAAUUUAGGGUUUUGAGAUCAGCUUGAGUACGCCCUACGUACACAUCAUGUACGCCCAAUGUACUACAUGAACUCCGUGUUCCAUUUUAAUGACUUAUCCCCGAUGUCCACUUCAUGUAUGCCCAACGUAAGGACCAUAACUGCAAAGAUUAAAUAUUUUGAGCCAUGAAUUGAAAUACCUUGGAAAACGGAUGUUACACAAUAUUAAGUCUUUUAAGGUAGGGAAGAUGUAGUAAGACCUUUGAAAAUGAUUCCACAUCCAUAAAACCAUCUAGCAUUAGAUAAACAGAAGAUUGUGGAAGAAGAAAAGACGACGACGACGAUGAUGAUGAUGAUGAUAAUGAUGAUAAUGAUGAUGAUGGAAUUGUAGUACUCUUCAGGUCCUCUUCCAUGUCAACAUCCAAUUUCGUAUGAGGAAGUUUUAACUAAAAGAAGAUAAGAUCAAAAAAUGGCCACAUGGACACGAUGUGUCCCUCUUCCAUGCGUUAGCGUAGAUGUGUCACACACAGGGACACAUGACAACAGAUGAAUGAUGCAUGGCAUAAAAAUUAACACCUUGCAUGGACACAACGCUUCCCCUUCUAAGCGUACGGUAGCCAAAAUUUGGUGGCUAUAAAUAGCAGCCUGAAGGUCCUUAUUUCGAACACAUUUUUUUUCUGAAAUCUCUCUCUCUCUCUCUCUCUCUCUCUCUCUCCCUAUUUCACCUUGAGAUCUUAUUCUGUCAUGAUUUGAUUUCUUGUUCUUAAUUAUCAAUAGUGAAGACCUGAAGCACUAGAAGGAACCAACAAGAAAAGAAUUAAGCGUUGAGGUUAUGCUUGUUUUCUGAUUCAUUCGUUAAUCAAAUUAGUUGUACUUUCAAUUAAGUAUAACUUUAUAUAAGCUAUACCCAUUUUCAUUGUUAUAAAAUUAUAAACGAGAUUAAUGAAGGAUCUAGGUAUUAGAUUCCAUAUUCAUUAAUCAAAAAUAGUGUUAUAGGUUAAUGUGUGCUUAGCGUGCCUACUCUCUAGUUGAAUUGCAGUUAGUUGUUCAAGUAAUUGAUCAUUUGAGUUACACUAACUCAUUUAUUAAGUUAGCUUUGCUUGUUUAUGUGUAAUAUUUUCCAUGGAUACCCCCUUCGGUAGAGUGGAGUAGGUUAAAGGAAUGGACUAACUAAGGUUAUCCUUUACAAAAUUAGUUGGGGGAAGACGAUCAUGAUGCUAGUGUGAUCUGUCUUCAUAUAUAGGUAUAGGUUAAAGGGAUAGAGUAAGUGAUAAUAUCCUUCACAAAAUUAGUUGGGGGAAGAUGAUCAUGUCGCUAGUGUGAUCAAUCUUCAUAUAUAGAUAUAGGUGAAAGGUAUGAACUAAUGUAGGGUAUCCUUCAAGGAAUCAUUUAGAGGUAAUGCAAUCAUGACAAAUGGUGUGAUUAGUCUUGCUUUGACCAUGACACAUAUAUGUGAUUAAUCCUUAUUAGUGUGUCCAAUAUAUAUUAGGAUUCAUAUGCUAUGUGAACCUAUUUGGAGGUUUAUGAUUAAUAUAAUGAGUGAUUGUUGUGUUGACUCACUAAGUGUUUUCUCUUACCCCUUAUUAAUAUUUUUUUCAAGACAAUUAGAGAAGACCCCAAAUUGAUAGCAACAACAUUCACAUUACAAAUUUGAAACUAUUGAAAAUUCAAAGUCUUUGGCUAUUUAUUCUCAAUGUCAAUGCUUUAUGUAAAACUAGAAGGAAUGAUUUUUAUAAAUGAUAUUUUAUUAUUAGAUUCUAUUUGGGAAAAAAUAGAUCUUUUUUUCUUUUUGGAAACAUAGUGUUACAAUCUUGGUUUAAUCCAUGAUCCAAUGGUAUUAAGGAUAUUAUGAUAGUGUUAAAUCAUAUGUAGUAAAGUUAUUAAAGCAUGUAAAUCAUUGAAAUGGUUUCAAAUGAAGCUUGGUAGGGUUUAGAGAUCAUAUGAGCAAAGUACAAUGCCUAAAGAAGUAAACCAUCACAUUUUUUGUAGCAUUUCUAAGCCAUUUAACAUAAGCUCGGGUUGACCUAUAUGACCCCUGGCGGGCCAAAUGAAGGCCUAGGCAGGCUUGGGAGCGUAGUCUUGCCACUAAAAUUUUUUUGCUCAUUACUUUUGCAUAUAUAUUCGAAACCAUGCACCAAUUUUGCCGGAAGAUUCUGAAAUAAUAAAAUUUAAUAUUUAUGAUUAACAUAUUAAUAGGGGACUUAAUGGACUACUUAAUAAAGUGUUGAUACACUUUUUGAUGCUAUUCAGUGACCCUUGAGUUACUAUAUCAUUCUUGAAGAGAAAGGGUGUGUUAGAAACUUCUACAUACCUUGAAAGUGAAGAAGGAUAAAUUUAGACUAAGGUGAGUAAUUACAAAGUACAUGUCCUUAUGAAAAUAAAUGAUGUCUGUAUGAUAUGAAUAAUUACUAAGUGUUUCUGCAAACUUGCUUGCUAUAUGGAAUAUAAUAUGUAUCUAUGUCUAUAUACAUGAACUUAUAUAUUCUAAACUAUGUUUUGAAGACGUAAUGACUACUAUGAGUUUAGAAUUAUCUUUCUCAUUACUAUGUGCACAUAUAUGUAUUCAUGCUAAGAUGGGAAUGGGAUGAGUUUAUCCAACCUUAAUGUCCAUGGAGAAUGAUGAUAAUGAUGAUGUAUGACCAAAAUUUUCAAAUGACAUAGUGAAGGUACUCUAGACGCUUCCUCACUUGCAAGUAUGGGUAGCUACCUUGUAUAUGGAUAUGUAAGUGGGCACAUGUCCUAGUUAUUGACUGUGGGGUUCCACUAUAAUCUUUAGUUAGGACAUGCUACAUUAUUCGGAUAAUCUCUCAAAAUUACGUUGUAAGAACACAUCUCACUUUAUAAAUAGAUGAUGUGUGUGGUUGGAUAUAUGAGUUUGACUUGGAGAAUGAUGAUAGGAGUUUUUCCAACCUAAACGUCCAUGGAAAAUGAUGAUAAUGUUGAUGUACGACCAAAAGUGUCAAAUGACUUAGUGAUGGUACUCUAGGAGCUUUGUCACUUGUUUGUAAGGCUAACUACCUUGUAUAUGGAUAUGUGAGUGGGAAUAUAUCCUAGUUAUGACUACGAGGUUAUACUAUAAUGUUUAGGUAGGACAUGACACAUCAUUUGUAUACUUUCUUAAAAUGACGUUAUGAGACACUUCUCACUUCAUAACUUGAUGAUGUGUGAGUUUGGAAAUAUGAUAUUUACUUGGCAAAGGGUUAGAAGUAUAUUACAUUGCAUCUAAUCUUUUAUGACUCUAACAACUAGCACUAUAAACGAACUGAACGUGCAAUAGACUAUUCAUGAACCGUUCUGCGAGAAGUUCAUUUAUGUUCACUUAUUUAAUAAAUGAACAAAUAUGAACAAAAAUUCUUGUUCGUUUGGUUAAACGAACGAACAUGAAAUAUAGUCUUGUUCGUUCAAUUAUGUUCGUGCACGUUUGUGUAUGUUGUUUGUUUUUUGUUUAUGUUCUUUCAUUUAAGUUCUUUUUAUGUUCAUAUAUAUUAAAUUGUGUUGGAUUACAUUACUAUAUUAUAUGUUUGUGUAUGUUCAUAUUUGUUCAAUUACUUUUGUUUAUAUCUAUUCCUUUAUGUUCAUUUAGCAUGUUUAUUAACAUGAACAAGAAAACUCUUCCGUGUUUGUUCGUUUGUUCGACUAAAUUAAACAAACAUAUAUGAACAACCCUCGUUUGUGUUUGUUCGGCUCAUUUACAAUCCUUUAAUUACUAAUUACGUACGAUAUUUUCAUUAUGACCCUAAUGAUGAUAUUGUGAUUAUGAUAUUAAUGAUGACAUUUGAUUAUGACUGUAGUGAUGAUACUUUGAUUAUAACUAAAUGACGGUUAACGACUUAUGAAUUUGCUUUAAAUGACUUGUGGUUUACUAAUGAUAAAUGAAUUAUGAUUUUUCAACGAGUAAAUAUUAUUCUAAUUUGUGUAUGAGUGAAAACUUACAGACUUAUGAUUUCAUGAUUAAAGACUUAUGAUUUUAAGGCUAAAGACUUAAUGGUUUGGAAAUACAAUUUUUUCAUGUUUCAACAAAUUUUUUCAAAUGAUUUUUGGGUUUUUUUUAUUAGUCAUUGGAUUGUGCAAACUCCUUUAAUAUUAAAGGUGUGAAAUACCGGUAUUACUCACUAGCAUUCACAAUGACUAGCCUAUGUUUUGAAAUGUAUUAAUAUGAUAAUAUCAAAUGGAGACUUAGAAUAUGACUUGGAAUUUUAUAAGGCCAAAGUAUUGUGUGGUUACUUGAACUAUUCUUUUGAUAUUAUGAUUGCUUAACCGCCUCUAAGUACUUAAAUUUGUCAAUAUUUUGUAAACAAUGACUAUGAGACCUUAUUUCUCUAACAUCCCAUUUUUCAAGUAGCUUCAAAUUCAUCCCUCGGAUUUUAAUUAUGUCACUUUUGGCCAUGGAUUUGGAAGGAAGUGGCAAGAAAGGACCAAGCAUGAAAAGGUUGCAACUGGGUGAGUAUGUCGAGCAUAAGCUGGGGUACGCCCAACGUAGAAGGUUAAAUGGUCGCGAGUGUUGGACACGUACGCCCAACGUACGAGAUGUACGUCCAGCGUACGCUCGGUGGCACUAAACCCUAGUUUUAGGGUCAAUCACUAUAUAAAGAACAUGAGGGCUUGAACCCUAGCCCCUUAUCAGCCUCCCCAACCUCAGAAAAACCCUAGAAUGUCUCAUCCCUUCAUUCUUUUGUGAUCUUGAUCUUAAGAGGCCAUCUUGGUGUUUUUAAGCUUGGAAGAGGAAGGAAGAAGUUGGCAAAGAAGGACUUGGGAAGUUUGAGCUCAUAGAUCAGGAAUGGCAUCAUCAUUUGAGAUUCUUUGGAGGUAUAAAGUUCAUAAUUUUCCUCAAGAAUGCUCAGAUCUAGAGUAGUGUGGUUUUGAAGUCAUUUUGGUCCCAACUAUAGAACUUUGUGGUUCAAAUCCUAUUUCUGGAUUUAGAGUUGCCACUCUCAGUUCAAAAUGAGUCCCUAAGGCAGAAAGUUGCCAUUUUGAAUGCCUUAUUGGAUUCAUGCAUGAGUUAAGAUCAUUUCUUUGAGAAUGGAAUGGUAUUUUGGAGUUUGGGCUUAUUAGGGUCAUGCAAAGUGACUCUAUGGAUUAAGACAUUGAAAAGGACUUGGAUCUGUGAUUGUAGCUUCUGGAUUAGAUUAUUAAGCACUUAAUGCGAAGUGACUUAACAGGGGAGUACGUUGAGCGUACAUGCAGGUAUGCCUAGUAUACGCACCAUUUUUCUUGUACGCGUAGCGUACAUAGGAGUACGCCCAGCAUACUCCUCAAAUAUGGGCCUUGCGAGGUUUGGGUCUCGGUUUGGGUCAUGCAGGGUAUUUUGGUUUUUUGGGCCUUAGUGGGUCAUAAGAAGUCAAAUAGUGUGGGCCAAGAAGAUGUUUGGGCUUAGGGUAAGGCCUAUUAGAGGUAUUGGGUCCAGUUUAGCAAAUUGGGCCAUUUGUGGGCCAAUGGUGGGCUUGGAAAGCCUACCUAGUGUUGCGUUUUGUCUUGGGUUGGCCCUUAGUUUUGGAUCAUAAUGGGCCAGGGGUAGAAUGAUCAUUUUACCCCAUGCAUGGAUUAAGGAUUAUGGUACGGGACCCAAUUGCUAAUUAGGUAUAUUGAUCGGUAUUGAUAGCUCAGGAAGUGGACAAGGCAGCAGCUAAGGAUUUCAUUCAGGAAGCGUCUGCAUUCGAGGUGAGUUAUCCUCGCUAUAUCAACAGGGUCUAAGGCACCAAGGUCGGCCCUUUAUCGGAUUUGUAUCCGGGUAUUUGCUUGAAAUGUUUAUUGAUUUGCCAGAUAUGCAUCCUGGUAGUUAGGAUGAUAUUAUGUUUAGUGACCUAAUUUAGGUCGGUAUCCUGGAAUAUAGGAUGAUCAUGUUAGUGACCGGUUAGGUCUAUAUCCUGGUUAUAGGAUGGCUGCUUUGUUAGUGAUCCGUUAGAUCGGUAUGAUUAUCUGUUAUAUACAUGCUAGCAUAUGAUAGUUAUGUUCACAUGAUUGUUUGAUUGGUAUUGGCAUUGGGUUGAGGCGGGUCCUGCUUCGUGCUGUAGGCCAACAUACCCGGGGCGGACCGGAUAGAAUGUAGGCCCAAGAGGGCACAUAGUCAGGCUGAAGGCCCGACGAGCGGUCCGGUUACACUGAAGGCCCUAAGAGGGCAGUCAAGACGUGCCAAGGCUCAGAGAGUGGGCUAGAAAUACUGAAGGCCCGGUGCGGGCGGUCCAGUCAUACUAUAGACUCAGAGAGUGGGCCAGGUGGACUGAAGGCCCGAUGCGGGCGGACCAGUCACACCGUAGACUCGAGAUGCAUGUUGUUCUGUGUUUGCUAUAUGAUAUGUUUAUGGUUGUAUGAGGUUGGUAUUUUGGGGGUAACUCACUAUGCCUUCGAGCUUACAUUUAUCGAUUAUUGGUUUAGGUACAACAGAGGCGUGACCGUACACUUCCUCAUAAUUUGAUUUGGAUUUCUGGGAUACUCUGAUAUGAAACUAUUUUGAAAACAAAUUUGUAAUAACUAUUGGUAUUCGAAAUGUUUUUAAAAGUUUAAAUUUGGCAUGAUUUUUAUGGAGGUUAUAAUUUCCGACUUUUUGCAACUUAUGAUUUAAAAAUGAUUUUCUAAAUAUUUAAAUAUUAAUUAGAAAAAAGGACGUUACAUCAAACUUCCCACACCAUUUUUAAUAAGAUAAUUAAAGAAAAUAAAGAACAACAAUUAAACCUUUCAUUAACUAAAAAAAGUGCUAGACGAAGAGAGAAACAAAAUAUAAGAGUGAAAUCAAUACUAAAUAUGAAAAUAGAUAAACACAUGUGGUGGGGGAUUCGAUUGUUUACACAAAGCAAAGUCGAGAAAAGGAGAUGCAUGCGAGUGGUACCACACCACCACGGGGUGGUAUUCCCCUCGGUACCAUACUUUGUGCAACACUUUUUUCGAGUUCCCCAAAUCAACAUGAAACCCUCAGUGAUCAACAUGAAACCCUUGUUGAAAGCUUGUUUAGAGAUUAUGUUUAAGAAUAAACCUCAAAAUUUUACACUUUUUAAGAUAGUUUUUUGAGUCAAUUAUAGCAACCACUUUUAUUAUACUAAUUUUUUUAGAUUUGUGUGUUGUACAUGAGUAGAUUAGAUUAAUCGUUAAAAAAGAACCUCAAAGCCUUUUUUUUUUUACUAAUUAAUUUGUUUAAUUUUAAUCCCCAAUAUUAAUUUAAUGUAUUUUAAUAUAUUGAUUUUAUUUAAUGUUAUUGUUAAAUACAUAAAAAAAUACUAAACGUGUUUAAAAAUAACAAAUUAAAUGAAGAACAUUAUCAAAAAUUUCGCUGAAAUAAGGAUAAAUUAGUUCAUUAAUUUUUUUAAGGUGAUAAUAUGAUCUAGAGAAACCAAAUAUGUUCUUACCUUUUGUCUCCACCUACACAAAUAUAAAAAUCAAAAGAAUAGACUAAGAGAUAAUUAAUGCAUUUUACGUAUCAUUAUUUUAUAUAAAAUAAAGAAAAAUCAAAAGAAUAGACUAAGAGAUAAUUAAUACAUUUCACAUGUAAUUAUUUUAUAUAAAAUAGAGAUAUGUAGUAACAACAAGAGUAAAUUACACGAAUGGUCCCUAUGGUUUGGGAUAAUUUGUACGUUUGGUGCCUAACUUAGUUUUUUUAACUCGAAAGGUCCUACAAUUUGUUUUUGUUGCGUGCGUGGUCCCUUGUCUAACCUAAAAACACUAUUUUGCCUUUGAUUUUUUAAUUUAUUUAAAUAAAAUGGGGUAUAUAAUAUAAGGUAAGAUGAGGUGGAAGUGGUGAUGGGAUGUAUUUAUUUAAAUAAAUUAAAAAACCAAAGGAAAAAUAGUAUAUUAGGGACCUAACGUGCAAAUAACCCCAAACCAUAGGAACCAUUUGUGUGAUUUACUCUAACAAAAAGGACGUGGAUAUUUAAUUUCUCUAUGAUUUAACUUAAUAUUUUUUUGCAUCAUAUAAUUAAUAGAAAGAUAAUAUCAUAUAAAAAAUAGAAAGAUGAUGGGACAAAUUAAAAAGGCUAUAGAUAGCCUUGCUCCAACUUUCACGGAAGUAAGGGCAAAUGAGUUUAUUUGUAGACUAAACCCUAUAAAUCUCGUAUACCAAAAUGACUAAUUUUGUAAUUUAUUAUUGUUUAUUUCUAUAUAAAGAUAACCAUUUCUUGUACUGUGGAUUUUUUUUUAUAAACUACUUUUAAUUAAAAUUCCAAAACAAACUAUGUUUGAUAAUUACUAUAUCUAAGUACAAUUCACUGAACCUAUACAACAGUUCAUCCACCAUUCAUCCCAAAUAUGGAAUUUGUAUUUGGUAUUUACUCGAACCCUUGAUUGUCUUAUAACUUUUUUCAACGUCCAUCCCUGUGCAUAUUUAGCUGAUUUGCCUCACUGACAUCGUGUAGACUGCCUUGGUCCAACGUGCACCUGUAGAAAUUGAGCAACUUCCUAAGAAUAACUCAUAAUUUAUAGAAACAUGCCAAGAUCACAUAAUAAUAUGGAAUAUUCUAAUAUGAUUUCAUAAACAAUCUCUAUAAUCAAUCACUAAUGACAACAAAUAUGAUGUCAUGAUAUUUGCACAGGUUUAUAGUGUGUAGACUUACAUCUUCCUUAACAUACUGAUCAAUUAUACUGGGAAUAGCCACACAAAAUGACAAUUAGUCAUGCUAUACAGAGUUUGACCAUAUUUUUUUUAUUUUACCAAAACAGAAAAGGUUUUAGUGUCAAAUGGAAUCUUAAUAACCUAGAAACCGAUACAAAUUUGUAAAGAAAUCUGAAGUUAUACAACAAAGGUUACAAAGGGAUUAAGAUGGCCCUGAUUUUCAAAAAUAUUACCAAAAUCAACAUCUCAAAGCCAACAGGUUUGACGUAAAAGGUCAAAAUUUCUGAAUUGAUGACCAAAUAAAAGGUCAAAGUUUCUGGAAAAAGUGCAAAUUGUAAACAAUUUUGUUAUGUUUUCUAGUAAUUCAUUCAACAAUGCACAAGUUCACUCGAAGCCAAGAUUAACGAAAACUACAACAUGACAACGAAAAGGAAUACACAAAGAAGUGGUGCAAUGAAGAUAAAAUAUUACGGUUGCAACAAAUAUACAUAGCAAGUUAAUGGUAAACGUUCUACAAAAACCGAAAAGCUAUUCAACUACUGCAGUUAUAGUUUUCUCUUAUUUUUGAACAAGUUUUGAUUGUUAGUUCAGUAUAAAAAUUGUAUUAUCAACAAACCAAAACAAACAAGUCUCAAAAUUAAUGUUCCUAAUACUUUGGGAUACUUAUUGAAAAAAAAAAAAAAAAAAAUACACAGAAAUUGAAAUCUUACUUUAUAUGGAACAUUUAAAAAAAAAAAAAAAAAAUAGUUGUGGAGGCCGUAAUACUUUGGGAUACAAGCUGUAGAACCCUCUUUCAUGUUUGUUAGGAACAAUGAUUAUAAUAACAUUAUUGAAAUGAAUAACCACUCUUAUGUAAGAGACACAGAUGAUGGGAAAGGAGAUGACGAACCUUUUCUACUUCAACACUGUUAUUGUCACAUUUGAUGGGUCGUAAAUGGCCUUAAGAUCUCCAAGCUUUGGGCAAUUCAAAAUUUCAAGUGUUUUAAGGCAGGGGAGGUGUUGUAAGACCUCUGAAAAUGAUUCCACAUCCUUAAAACCAUCAAGAUCUAGAUAAACAAGAGAUGGUGGAAGAAGAAAAGUUGAUGAUGAUGAAGGAGUAGUACAAGUAUUCCCCACAUCGUCUGCCACUGCAAAUGAAACCACUCCUGAAUUUUUGCCAGAUAACUCUAAUUCAACUAGUGAGGCUGGAAAAUUCUGGGGGCCCCACUCUGACAUGGGCUUAUUUAAGCCACCAAUCACUAAUUUGCUUAAAUUAGGAGGCCACACACCACAAGGAAAGGAGUAGUCCAUACUUGGACAAUCAUAUAUCCACAUUUCUUCCAAAGAUGUGAGACUUUGAAAUUGCUCAUGAGGAAAUGACUUUAGAUUCUUGCACCAACAGAUCUGAAGAGAUGUCAAACGAGACAAACUGAUGUCUUUUGCUGGAAUGGGUUUGGGUUGUAAUUGUAUGUUAUCACAAUCACCGACUAUCAAUUCAGUGAGAGGGGAUGGGUGCUCCUGCACUGCUGAGAAGGUCAAAGAUGUCACUGAAUCACAAUGCCAGAUCACCAAUUUCUCAACACUAUUUGGACAAUUGUAACUCUCCAAUGUCUCACAGUUAUGAAAUUCCACAGAUUUAAGUGAUUCCAUGCUGAUCCCAAUAUUAGCCUCUUUCUCGGCUGUUGAAACCAAGUUUUUACAAUUCCAUACUUCCAACUUCUGUAAACUCACAAGACUCUUGCAUGCCUCUGAUUCUCGUUCCCACAAGUAUCUCAGUUCAUCACAUCUGUUGAUAUGUAGAUGUUCAAGUGCCCUAAGAUGCAUUAAAUCUUCUCCAUGUAGUUGAGUUAGUCCUUUGACAUUUAACAAUUUUAAUUCAACAAGUGAUGAGGACAAACCAACCAAGCUUCUUAACACUGCAUUGGAACAAUUUCGUAUAUAUAAAACCCGAAGUGAAGGUAUCAAUCCGAUUGAAACUUCAGCUAGUUCUGGACAAUUGGCUAUACAGAUCUCAUGAAGACAAGGAAAUGAUCUAGGAGCUCCAUGUCCAUCACCACUAUUCAUUGACCAUCUCUGCCAGCCUUUCAUAUCAUAAAAUGUCAGACAUUCAAGGGAUGGAAAUGGAAUGCCAAGAUUAGAAUUAGGAGGUGCAAGGAACUCAAAACCCACGGUCUGCACCUCAUUCAUACUUUCAACAAUCAAUUUCUUAAGACACCCUAGACAUCCAAGUGUUGGUAGAUGUGUACUUCUACAACCACUUAAUGUAAGCUCUGUUAACUGAUCAAAGGAGGGAUCGCCAACCCAAGUAGGAAAUCGCAUUCCGCUGUUAUUGAAAAUCUUGAGAUUUUUUAACUUAGGAUGAGGCCUUAGUUCUUUAAGUACUUCAUAUUCAAUCAUCUCAUUCCGAGAAUCAUCAAACACAUAACUCCAUUCCAGCUCCAAAACAUCAAGACCUUUCUUUUGAUGUAACUUGGUAUCCUUUGCUUCUACUGGAUUUAUCACUUUUUCUAACCCCAUAAUGUACAGUUGGCCUUGAAGAUCUGUUAGGCCCUUAAAAUCGGAUAUUUUGAACCCAUUACCUUCUUCAAUAAUGACCUUGGUUAGAGUUUGUAGACUCCUCAACCCACCGAUCCCCAAGGGCAUCUUGUUCAAUUUUGGAGUAUAACUUAUAUCAAGAUGUCGUAGGUUUAUUAACUUUGCAAAAUUUUUUGGCAAGCUAGACAACUCACCACAACAAUGAACCAACAAGGUCUGUAGAUUAUAAAGCUCACUCACUUCUUCAGGCAAACAUGUGAUUCUGGUGUAAGAAAAAUUAAUGUACCGUAGAUGCUUGAGAUUACCAAUGGAUUCUGGUACCUUCCUGAUUAUCUCACUAUCUCCGUACAUGUCAUCCAAGCCCACGACACUUAGCACCCUCAGGAAUUGUAGUUCAAGAAGAACCUUGUCCAAAGAGCCAUCCUCCCAACCAUCUGACAUGACUAAGAAAGUUCUCAAGUAUUUAGCUCUUUGUAAUUCAAUAAACUUUCUAUAUGAUCCAGAUCCUCGACCUACAAGUGAAAGAUGACGAAACUUAUCAGAAGUUUCAUUCAUGUCAGAUAUAUCCACCUCACCAUCCAAUCUAAAGGAAAACUCUCCUACAACACUUGUAGCCAAGUCAUUCAUCAGGUCAUGCAUUGUAUAUCCUAACAUGUCAUUCGUUGACUGUUGAAAAAAGGACCUUGACUUUAACUCUUCAAAAUACUCAUGACCUAAAUUCUCCAUUGACUUGUUUCCUUUUGAUUGGGACAAAAAUCCUUCUGCCACCCACAAUAGGAC
This 29284-nucleotide long non-coding RNA is filed under the name Lactuca sativa (garden lettuce). RNAcentral's name for it is "long non-coding RNA (LSAT_LNC000645)". The record is from RNAcentral. Lineage: Eukaryota; Viridiplantae; Streptophyta; Magnoliopsida; Asterales; Asteraceae.